CCUACGGGAGGCAGCAGUAGGGAAUAUUGCUCAAUGGGGGAAACCCUGAAGCAGCAACGCCGCGUGGAGGAUGAAUGUUUUCGGAUUGUAAACUCCUUUUUUUAGAGAAGAUAAUGACGGUAUCUAACGAAUUAGCACCGGCUAACUCCGUUCCAGCACCCGCGGUAAUACGGAGGGUGCAAGCUUGAUCCGGAAUCACUGGGCGUAAAGAGCGCGUAGGCGGAAUAGCAAGUCAGAUGUGAAAUACUAUGGCUUAACCAUAGAACUGCAGUUGAAACUGUUAGUCUAGAGUAUAGCAGAGGUAGGUGGAAUUCUUGGUGUAGGGGUAAAAUGCGUAGAGAUCAAGAGGAACACUCAUUGCGAAGGCGACCUGCUAGAACAUAACUGACGCUGAUGCGCGAAAGCGUGGGGAGCAAACAGGAUUAGAUACCCCAGUAGUC
Molecule: ribosomal RNA, 440 nt
Filed under: uncultured bacterium
Lineage: Bacteria
Description: partial 16S ribosomal RNA
Rfam family: Bacterial small subunit ribosomal RNA
Source: RNAcentral